RNAcentral lists this signal recognition particle RNA (99 nucleotides) under Candidatus Fimivivens faecavium. RNAcentral describes it as "signal recognition particle sRNA small type". It matches the Rfam family "Bacterial small signal recognition particle RNA". From Rfam's summary of the family: The signal recognition particle (SRP) is a universally conserved ribonucleoprotein involved in the co-translational targeting of proteins to membranes. Archaeal SRP consists of a 7S RNA and homologues of the eukaryotic SRP19 and SRP54 proteins. The record is from RNAcentral. Lineage: Bacteria; Bacillati; Bacillota; Clostridia; Eubacteriales; Oscillospiraceae.
GUACGGGUCCUGUGCGACGAAGCUCCGUGAACCAUGUCAGGCGGGGAACCGAGCAGCAUUAAGCGGUACGUUUUGUGCGCCGCGGGUAAUCUGUGCAUC